UACGUAGGGGGCAAGCGUUGUCCGGAAUCAUUGGGCGUAAAGCGCGUGUAGGCGGCUCGAUAAGUCUGCUGUGAAAGUCCAGGGCUCAACCCUGGGAUGCCGGUGGAUACUGUCGAGCUCGAGUCCGGAAGAGGCGAGUGGAAUUCCUGGUGUAGCGGUGAAACGCGCAGAUAUCAGGAGGAACACCAAUGGCGAAGGCAGCUCGCUGGGACGUGACUGACGCUGAGGUGCGAAAGCGUGGGGAGCAAACAGG
Molecule: ribosomal RNA, 253 nt
Filed under: uncultured bacterium
Lineage: Bacteria
Description: partial 16S ribosomal RNA
Rfam family: Bacterial small subunit ribosomal RNA
Source: RNAcentral